This 1476-nucleotide long non-coding RNA is filed under the name Mus musculus (house mouse). RNAcentral's name for it is "long non-coding RNA chr11:35428744-35430220". Lineage: Eukaryota; Metazoa; Chordata; Mammalia; Rodentia; Muridae. The record is from RNAcentral.
GGUCUUCGGACUGGGUCAGGUUCCUCACCUGGGCCCUUGCUGCCACUCAUGCCUGGCUGCUGCUGUUCUGUCCAGCCAUCCUGUGUGUGCUCCGCUAUGAGCUUCCUCCGCUCCAGAUCCACAGAAGCACGGCUGUGGGUGCCAUGUCUCCCUGUGGAAUGUCAUCCAGCCCCUCUCACUGCCCGAUGCUGCUCUCCCCACAUCUCAGCUCAGGGCUCAGCCCUCCUCAGAGAAACCAUCCUAGCAACUCAUGUAACAUGACUUCCCACGACUGCUUACCACCAGCCACUCUAAUGAUUAUUUUCUGUUUAAUUCUUCUCUUUUGGGCCAAAUGUGUGUGUGUAUACAUAUAUGCAUAUAUAUGUAUAUAUGUGUAUGUGUGUGUAUGUGUGUAUGUAUAUAUGUGUAUAUAGACAUGAAUGUAUAUAUGUGUGUGUGUAUAUAUUAUAUAUAUGAGAGGGAGAGAGAGAGGAAGAGAAAGAGAGAGGAAGAGAGAGAGGGAGAGGGAGGGAGAGAGAGAGAGAGAGUCUUCUUUCCUAGUUUGAUGGCUAUAAACCUGUAGAGGAAGGGGGCAGGAAUUGAACUCUCAUUUAGCCCUGGAACCUGGGAUAGUGCCCCACUCAUAAAAGAUGCUAGAAGAAGCAACAUGGACAAAACAUCAGAAGUAUUUUGCCUUUAGAGAAGUAGAGAGCUGUGUAGUGGGCAUAUCUAAAUUACCACUAUCAUUAUCAUUGCUUCUCUGUGUGUGCAUGUGCAUGUGCCGUAGCACCCUGUACAGACCAAAGAAGAGCUCUGUGGAGUUGGUCCUCUCCUUCCACCUUUAUGUUAGUUCUGGGGAUUGAGCGCAGGGUAGCAAGCACCCACUGAGACAUCUUUCUUUGCACAUUUCCAUACAGCAGAGUACAGGGAUACCUGCCUUCCCAUCUACUUGCUAUGAGCAUCCAAAUGCCAUCCCAUGUGUUUACAUCUACCAGUAGUUAUUGAACACUUUUUAUUAAAAUGAAAUCAAUUUCUCAGUGAUUGAAAAUAGAUUAUCUUGGGACACAGGAAUGGUGAGUGCUAAAGUUCACAUCUGUGGGCUGUGGUCAUAAAGACAGUGCUGUUGAACUGGGCGCAGUAAGUAAGUAAGUAAUUGGACUGUGUAGAAAAGAGGCAAGCCUUGCUUUCACUAGGUACAGCCAUCAUAGGCCUUUAGCUUUCAGCCACCACAGUCAUGCAGGGCUAUUGAAGGAAUGGCUUUCUGGUUUCUACACAGUGACAGCCACCUACCAAGGUUGACCUCAGACAGGCUUCAUCAGCCUCCCACAUGUAGGUAGGCACAGAGCAAGCAAACCCCAUGCGUACCAUCCCUAGUUGGGACAGAGGGAGGAGACGCUAGGAGUUCACUCUGGUCCACACUUAUAGCAGGGCAGCCAGCACCUAAUUUCUUAGUUCCAUCUGUAUGAUUUCUGUACAGAUGAGAAAACAGCCUUUAGU